Long non-coding RNA from Oreochromis aureus, 1714 nucleotides. RefSeq lists it as uncharacterized. Lineage: Eukaryota; Metazoa; Chordata; Actinopteri; Cichliformes; Cichlidae. The record is from RefSeq and is a predicted model, not a curated record. The transcript has 6 exons.
CGUAAAUGGCUAGAAGGGAGUCGGCGGCUAGAAAGUGGGUGAUAAGGGUUUUAUAUGCCGGAGCAACCUCUUUAAAUUAAGCUCGACGCACAUAAAGGAAGUUCCCAAGUGCGUUUCCAGACUCACAAACCUGUCAGUCCUCCUGUCGAACAACAACUCCAUCACGGGCCUCCCCGCUGAGCUGCUCUCCUUACAUCAACUGGCUGAGCUGAAUUUAGGAAAUAAUGCCUUGAAGGAGUUUCCCGCUGUUCUGGGCCAUCUGGAGUCCUUGAAAAAGCUGUACCUGUUCAGAAACCAAAUUACUGUAGUGCCACCUGAUGUGAUAGGUGGCUUCAAGAACCUUGUUGUCCUCAAUCUGAACCACAACCAGAUUCAAAGACUUCCUCCAGGGAUUAAAAGCUUGAGUAUGCAUGAACACCUCAGCGUGCUGGACAAUAAGCUGGAGGAAGUUUCCGCAGAGCUUGGCCAUCUCUUUAGAUAAACCUAAACUUCAACUGGCUGUCCUGGCUUCCUCGGCAGCUGUACUAGUGCAAAGAGCUGACAAAGCUGUAUGCAGCCAGAAACUACUUGACCAGCCUACCAGAGGAGGGUUCUUAUAAAAUCCCACACCAGUUACCUGUUGAGUUUUUCAUGUUUUUUCUUUUCUUUUCUGGUUUUAGUCAGCAAAUCAAGAGUUUCAGGAAAAUCACUAAUUUGAUUGGCCACUCACACCACCUAAAUUUCCCUGAAGUUAAUUUUUGACUGAAUAUAGUGUUCCUAUAUUGACAAGGUAGCUUUUAAGAUAUUUGUGUCAAGCUGUAUCUCUGAUUCUACUUUUGUACUGUGAAAUAAUUUGGCCGUAACGGAACUGCACUGUGAAGGGAACAGGUUUGUGCAGUGUGAGCUGAUGACUUUGGUGCAGUAUGCUGAAGUACUUACAUUAAAGUAGGAACUGGUUGUUAGGUUUCUAUUGUGGGAGGACAGGAACAGGUUCUCUCCAAUCCAUGUGAUGCUUCUCCACUGUCCAAAUCUAAAGACGCUGCUGGACACCGCUAGCUCUUGUGCGGUCUGCUGCAGCCCCUUCCUCACCACCUGGCUGCAUUGUGUGCAUUUUGUAAAUCUAAAGAAGGACUUGAAAAUGAGGAGUAUGCUUACUAUUCCAGUGUGUGCCCUUCUCUGUUCAUACAGGUGCUUUAACACAGAAGGACACGCCUACUUUGGUGUUGCUACAAGAUAAAUACAAGUUUAUUUAAAGAUACAGUCUUCUUUUUCAUCUCAUUUAACUUAAUCUGAAGGCACAAAAUGUUUCAAUAAAUAUCACAGUGACAGUGUAGGUCUGGAAGCAUAUACAUGGAUUCAUUCCUCAGUGAUUUUGUCCUUCAAAUUUAUUUGGCAUUUCACUCUGUAGCCACUAGAUGGCAGCAAAUGAACGUUGAUAGGACCCUCGUUUCAACGGGGCUCUAAAAUGCAGGCUUUAUGCCAGCUACAACGAUGUAAAAUCCUUGAAAACAGAUAAAACAACACAAUUAAAAAAACUUUAUUUACAAAUACUUGAACAUAAAACCUUUGUAAGAGAAUACCUGUUACACCUGUUUUUUCUCAGUAAAGAGAUAAUUCUGUGGAGACCUUCACUGGGUUUAACCCGCACAAAAUCUAUAUGAAGACCCAUUUACAUUUAGCAAUGGAAUAUUUUAUUUUUCUGUCUGUGUCCACCCUGGCACAUCCUUUUCCCAUG